This is a long non-coding RNA of Oreochromis niloticus (Nile tilapia), 755 nucleotides long. RefSeq lists it as uncharacterized. The transcript is spliced from 2 exons. The record is from RefSeq and is a predicted model, not a curated record. Lineage: Eukaryota; Metazoa; Chordata; Actinopteri; Cichliformes; Cichlidae.
GAAGUUUGCUGAGGACCUUUCCAGAGAAGAGAGGGAGCGCUGGAGCAAGUUGUGGCCCAUUAUUGAGAAGGCUCGCAGAGAAAAUAAAAAGGCCUAUUACGUCGGAUGCCGGGGUUUUGUUAAUGGGACGGAAGUUUUCCCGUCUUCAGAAUGAGAGAAAGCCAUUCUGUAUCUGCUGAUGUGAACUUCUGGAAGUCUCAGUGGGGUAACGAUGUUUGGUAUUCGCACGGCACAGAGAGGUCAGCUGGGGUCACAACUCUCAAAGGUAGCUUCGAAGGUAUUGUUCUACAUUCAGAUUGUGACUCUUUGGGUCAUUAUAUUUGUCUGGUAGUAGAAUACAAUCACUCCAUUUUCAUAAUUGUCAAUUUAUAUGGCUAUAAUACCAAACCUGAAAAUGAUAAUUUAAUUGACUCUUUAGAUACAAGGAUUAGUUUUUGGCUCUCUAAAUAUCCCAGUUCAAAUUUAAUAAUUGGAGGAGAUUUUAAUGUUUCACUGAAUGACACUAUAGAUAGAUGGGCCCCAGCACAACAUUUUAGGAAAAAUUUGAGAUUGGAAACAUUUAUGGAUAAAUUUAAUGUAACUGAUAUUUGGAGAGACAAAUUUCCUGAUGAUAUAUCAUUUACCUGGAGUAACCGUUCUGGUUCAAGGAAAUUGCGUAUUGAUUUCUGGUUAAUAUCAAGUAGUCUAUCAAAGGACAGUGUCACGGUCAAUAUCCUUACAACUCCACUUACGGACCAUAGAGCAAUAUAUAUUAA